UUUUGAUCAAAGCAGAAGGGCGUUAUCGCGAAGCUGACGUCUGCUAGGCCUGUGGAUUUGCACAGGUAGGCUGCAGCAUGGAGCCAACAAGAGAAUUGCUUGUUCAGUGGAAAAAAGAUGGCUCCAAAAAACGUGGUAGUGUAUGGAGACAUAUUCAAUGUCCCUGUAUUCCAAUAAAAGGGACAAAAGUCUUCAUGCCUUGGAAAGGCAGGAGAUGGGAGGGAGUUGUCCUGUCAGUGGAUGAUGAGUCUGAGGAAAGUGAUGAUGACAGCAUACCAGAUCAACCAAGGCUUGACGUUGGAGAUGUCGGUGUCGGUGUCAGAAUGACAGACCAUGGACCUCUACCAGAUCAACCAAGGCUUGACUUUGGAGAUGUCGGGUCACAAUGACAGACAUGCCUCAUUGAAGUUCAAAUGUGUCAACAUUUCAUAUGUUUACAUGAAGUGUUUAGUACAUGCUCCCAGUGUCUUGUUUCCCUGUGUGAACACCACUUCAAAGAGGAAGACCCAUGUGCAAACCACAAUAACUAUGCUCAUCUACUUCAAAUUCCGGAGAGGUUUUCAGAAGAUCAUCCAGCGAUCGACACAGUUCUGGAAUUGAUGACGGUUGUUCCCUUAGCAAUCGAAGUGCAGGAGACAGUUGACAUAGUUUCAAGUUAUCCAAGCAGACAGUGAAGGUAGUACUGAAAAAUAUUAAUGUCUCAAAUGUCACCAAUUUGAGUUUGUAGUUUACAGUGGGCAUUGUCUUUAGGAAUUAUAAGUCAGUUUGUUGGAAUUAUGCUGUUGCAGACACCUCUACAAUAUUCAUUAAUCAAAACAACAACCUCUUAAGCUAACUUUUGAACCAUUUAUUUCUCCUACAAUAUUUACUUCAAAAAUGGGUUUUACAUUUCUAUGUCAUAAAGUUUAUUCUUGUGUACUUUACAGAGAGUGGCUUCUACACAGAGAUAUUGGAGAACGUCCUGAACAAUGUGAGGUAAAAGUCUGAAGCUUUAAAAUGGUUGCCUGUUACAAAUUCUGCCCAGGGAGUGGAGAAUUUUCUUUGAAAAAGAUAAAUGUAUUUUUGUUGUACCAGAAAAUGGCUGGUGUACAUCUCUUUAGACAGAGUAAAUGGAAUAAUUGCUCUGCUUCCCUCUGAUGGAGGGGUUCUGGGAUAAAUGACCAUGCAGACGUACUGCAAUUCUCUUCUUUCUCCUCCCAUCUCUCUUUCUCUCUCUCUCUCUUUCACUCCCUUAUUUCUUGAUGAUGGCUGGGUUUAAAGGUGGGGUAGGGGAGAGAGUGAAUGUAUUGGUUCAUUAAAUCAAGGCAAGAGAGGAGAAGCAAAAGGAGAGAAGCAUGCCAGUCAUAUUGCAAGGUUACAGUCAUUUACAUUGACUUGCUGCAGUGUUGACUCCUUCAUCCUUCACCAGUACUUUUACUUUUAUAGAAUUUUGCACUCUGUACAGUUCAAAGCAUGAAUAUGUUAAACUAAUAUUUUGUCCACCACUUUUAUAUUUUUUAUUCUAAUACAGAAUAAGAGAGCCAGGAAACGUAUUGCAGAUCCCAACAGCUGCUACAGUUUCACUUAUUGUCAUACUUUUUUGUAUCCCCUUUGAUAAUGCUGAAAUAUUUUUGAAGUAUUUUCUCUUUUGUUAACUUACUGCACAGUACGUUAACUGCAGAAUACACAAAGUUCUUUUAAGAGCUACCAUGUUGUAAUUUCUGCCAUGAACAUGUGCUACAGUUUCACUUAUUGUCAUACAAUUUUGUUUAUUUGCCUUUGAUAAUGCUGAUAUAUUGUUCAAGUAUUUUCUCUUUUGUAAACUUACUGCACAGUUUUUAAAACUAUGCUACAAAAGCUCACUAGAGCUAGAACAGA
This is a long non-coding RNA of Strongylocentrotus purpuratus (purple sea urchin), 1857 nucleotides long. RefSeq lists it as uncharacterized. The transcript is spliced from 5 exons. Lineage: Eukaryota; Metazoa; Echinodermata; Echinoidea; Camarodonta; Strongylocentrotidae. The record is from RefSeq and is a predicted model, not a curated record.